UACGUAGGCAGCAAGCGUUGUUCGGAUUUACUGGGCGUAAAGCGUGUGUAGGCGGCUUGGCAAGUUGGAUGUGAAAGCCCACGGCUCAACCGUGGAAGCGCACCCAAAACUGCUUCGCUCCGAGUCUCGGAGAGGAAGGUGGAAUGCUUGGUGUGAGAGGUGAAAUUCGUAGAAUAUCAAGCAGAACACCUGCGGCGAAGGCGGCCUUCGUCGGAGCCGAUGACUGACGCUGAGACACGAAAGCGUGGGGAGCAAACAGG
RNAcentral lists this ribosomal RNA (260 nucleotides) under uncultured bacterium. Its description in RNAcentral is "partial 16S ribosomal RNA". It matches the Rfam family "Bacterial small subunit ribosomal RNA", at positions 524 to 776 of the family's 1533-position model. The record is from RNAcentral.